Molecule: RNA transcript, 3268 nt
Organism: Austrofundulus limnaeus
Lineage: Eukaryota; Metazoa; Chordata; Actinopteri; Cyprinodontiformes; Rivulidae
Gene: micu3b
Gene name: mitochondrial calcium uptake family, member 3b
Exons: 16
Source: RefSeq, a predicted model, not a curated record
AAACAGGAGUUGACGGCGGUGCUUCAAAGGAUAAUUAAAAUACAAAGCAAACAGCCCUUUAAGUCAACUGGAAACGCGACUUAAAUGAAUUAGACUGAUUUGAAUACUUUAACUCUCGUGGCAGACUUGAAACGUGUACCCACGGUGUUUCUCGCGAGCUCGGAGGCGCUCUGAGUCGCGCGCCGCGGUUCAUCCGGCAGCAGGCAGACAGUCAUGGCGGCGCUGCGCAGGUUCGUCUCCUCGCUCCUCACGCCGGCAGGGCCACGGAGAGCCUCCUCCGGGGAGCUGAGGGUGGUCGCAGCGGGAGUGUGUGUCGCCGGUGUCGCUUACUAUUAUUGUUACCACAGGCACUCGGUCGGGGUUCGGCGGCUCGGACUGAGGAGCCGCGUCGAGGCUCGGCUCGUUCAUCAUCAUCUGCUUCCGUCGGUCUCCGCCGCCGACAAGGCAAAGAGCUACGAUCUGGAUGAUCGAGAUGUUUACAUGUCAUCCUACGAGAACAGAUUCAGGCUCUUCAGUUCAUUGGAGCACGACGGCCAACUCUAUAUGACGCCUCUGAACUUCAUUGAGUCUGUCACUCUGAACGAACCAAGAAGCAGGAGAGGAUGGAAGUCCCUCACAAAAAAGGAAUUAGACAAGAUGCUGUCUGAUACCCCUCCUGUUUGGAAAGGAUCAUCUAAUUUGUUUAGAAAUCUCCGAGAACAAGGUGUCAUCAGUUACACCGAGUACCUCUUCCUGCUCUGCAUUUUAACAAAGCCUCAUGCAGGCUUUCGGAUUGCUUUCAACAUGUUUGAUGCUGAUGGGAAUGAAAUGGUGGACAAAAGGGAGUUCUUGGUGUUGGAAGAGAUUUUCCGCAAGAAAAAAGACAGAAAAGAAGCUGCUGAGGACUUUCAAAGACUGGAACAACAAAUCCUGCAGCUUUACGGUCACCGCAAAUCCCAGCCGCAGAGUGUUCGUAAAAAAGACAGUCAGCAUGCGGCAGCUCCGGGCAUGUGGGAUGUUCUCAGACGUGGCACGAGUCGGGUUCUGUUUUCUGAUCUCACUGAGCACGUGGAUGAGAAAACAGAAACAACUCUGCUGGUUCAUUUCUUUGGGAAAAAAGGGAAAGCUGAGUUGAAGUUUGAAGAUUUUUACAAGUUCAUGGACAACUUGCAGACGGAGGUGCUUGAGAUCGAGUUCCUCUCCUACUCCAAAGGCAUGCCCACUAUCAGUGAGGAAGACUUUGCUCGCAUUCUUCUUCGCUAUACAAACGUGGAUGACGUCAGCGGGUAUAUGGAGAAUGUGCGUCACAGCAUACCAGACGAAAAGGGAAUCACCUUUGAGGAGUUCAGGUCCUUCUUUCAGUUCCUGAACAACCUGGAGGAUUUCACCAUCGCCAUGCAAAUGUACAACUUCGCCCACCGCUCGGUCGGUCAAGAGGAGUUUACUCGAGCGGUCUACGUGGCCACAGGAAUCAAGCUGAGCCACCACUUGGUCAACAUCGUCUUCAAGAUCUUUGAUGAGGAUCACGACGGCAAACUCAGCCACAAGGAAUUUAUCGGAGUCAUGAAGGACCGGCUGCACCGCGGUGAUGGGGUGACAGAGGACACAUCCACCUACUUCCUCUGUGGACUGAGGAGGACCAGUACUGCAGAGACACAGAAACACUUCACUCAUUAGUUGGCGUUCGAGUGGAGGAAAAGUUCAUCUCUUUCAAGUCCUGCAUGAAGAAGGAGCUGUCAGCCAAAUAGUUGAAGACCUGAAAAUCAGCUCCCGCUCUACUGGAUCAGCUGUGCUUUCUGUCAGGACAUAUCCCGUGGCUUCAUGCAGGCUGCAGCAUUGUUCAUGUGUGUCGGUGGACUCUGAGGAGAAAAAAGAAUUUAACACAAACAGGAAGCAGUCACUUUAAUGAAAACUAGCUCAAAUGGUCAAACAAACCAACAGAACGACCUGCUCCAUGUUACUAAACUCGAAAUUGCACUGGAGUUUGAAAAAGUACCUAAGAACACACUAAACUGUUUAUUCCUUAUUUAUCAACAAUAAUUUACAUUGAAGAUUUGUGCUUGUGAAAAUAUUUAAUUAUUUAUUCUGUAUCAUUAUUUAUUCAUCUUAAGUGAUUUAAUUUGAGUAUGUUUGCCUGCUGAAGGUGUAGAAUUAUUUUUUUAAACUCUUGUUCAUGCAUGUACCUGGAAGUGGUUGACUUGUCUUUGUCAGACCCAAACCUGGCUCUGUUCAGUUACACAAAGCUCACCUCCCUUUGUCCUUUAGUUAACGCUGCAGCCGAUCUGCAGAGAUCAGUGCAGAACACCCCCCACUCCCCCUAAACUCCUUGUAUUUCCUCCAAAGCUCUGCAGCUGAAACUCUCCAGCAGACGUGAGCACGCUCACUCGGACCGUGGCCUUUUAUUUAUUUAUUUUUUUACCGUUUAACCACCGGCAGCCAGCGGUGUUAACCAUUUCUGGACUUUUAGAAAUGAAGUGUUGUUCUGCCUCUGGCACGAAGCACUUUGUCAUGUAAACACGUGCAGAAUACUAAAGCCCUAUGUUUGUCUCUGCUCAGUUCAUCAGGUUUUAAAGCAUCUGUACUUUAGGAAGGACCUAUAAGAGUGAGCUCCUGAUGUUUCAUAGGGACAAUCUUUCUUUGUGUGGUGUGGAGUAAAAGAAACUAAAAAAACACUGAAAAUAUCAUGAACACACAUGCAUUAACAGCUAAUCAGUUUUAGAUUGCUGCCAAAGAAGUUCAUACUUAAACUUUUAUGUUGGAGUCACUUUUAUGACUAUUUUAGCAGAAAUAUAACAUCCGUGUUGGAUGUGCUCCAGGCUGCACCAGAUGAGUGCACAAAUAAGACAAAAAAAGAGCAGAAUUCAAUGUAAAUAACUGCAACAUGAAAAGGAUUGCAGUGUUAACAUGUAUGAUUAGUGAAUUAUGUGCUGUAACACUUCCUGUGCAGGCUGCAGCACUUCCUGCAGGAAUUUCAUCAUUUUUCGCUGGAAUAAUCGCUUAAUGGUAAACUUGACUAUGAUAAAAUAACAUUUACUUGAACAACGUUUGAGACUGGAGUUGUUUGAAGAUGGUGGUGAUUUGAACUAGCUGUUAGCUCAUCAGACCGGUCAGAAUUAUUAUUAGCGUUCCACAAAAAACUACUUCAAACUGACCAGAAUAUCCCUUUAAUAUUUUUCAUAAAAAACUGUUUGAGACUUGUUUCUUUUUAAAUGUUCGAUUAAUUUAGGCUUGACUGUUACACAGAGUGAUGUUUACUGGUUGGACUCAAUAAAUACUAAAAUAUUUCUGA